Molecule: long non-coding RNA, 1160 nt
Filed under: Equus asinus (donkey)
Lineage: Eukaryota; Metazoa; Chordata; Mammalia; Perissodactyla; Equidae
Description: lncRNA (ENSEASG00005037706.1)
Source: RNAcentral
AAAGAAGGUGAUAAAAGGCUGUGAGAAUCAGCAAGUAUCCAACACAGUAUAUCAUGCUUACAUUUUAGGUUUCUUAUUUAAGUUCAAGUUUGUGGUUUAGUCUACUUAGAUCUUAAAGAAUGAUCAGGCAAUAGCCCUUGUCUGAACUCUCUUUUAAUAGAUACCACCUCAAAGACUGAACUGAGAAAUUUUGUGCAAUAAAGAAGGAAAGAUGAAGAAGAAAUACUUUGUUCAAUCAGUGUGCAAUAGCAGAGGAUGUGGAGAUAAAUAAUCAAAUAUUUUGAAGGAGAGCCAUCAGGAUUUGUAGAUGGAUUGGUUGUGGUAUGUGAAAGAAAAAGAGAAGCCAAGGAUAACUCUGAUGUUUUUAGUUUGAGCACCUGGAAGGAUGAAAAUACUAUAGACUGAAUGGGGAAAACCAUGAAUGGAACAGGCGUGAGUUCAGCAGGAAACUUCUUGGUAAUGAAGAACAAUUGCCUGAAUGAUGGAAAGGAGAUUCAUCAGUUAUCAGUUAGCCUUGAAGAAAAUGGAAUCAGAUUUUCCAGGAAAAGAUCAAGCUCCUCAGGCCUGUCCUGAGCACAAAACAAGACCAGAAGAGGAAUCCUGUGGUGCCAAGAUCAAAUCUGGAUUAAUCAUUAGUGGCUGGUCCUUUGACAAGUGUGGUCUCUUGCUUGGGAUGUCAGAGUCCUGUGUUGAGUUUUGACAACCGCCAGCAGGGCCAAAGACCAUCAUCCCUACAUCAUUGGGUCCUGGGGAAGAUCCCAUGAUGUCCCACUGCUCUAGCGUCUUCUUCAGAGAAAAUUACCUUAAAAGGAGCAUCACUAGUGACACGGAAGGUGAAACGAAGUAAUAAAAGGGCAGAUUGGUGCUUACAGGGAAGGAAAAGCUCACUGCCUUGCCCUGGUGAUAGUGUGGUUAUAAACAAUUCUGUAAAUAGAAUCUUUACUAUAGAAAGUCUUCAUAUUUUUAAAAUACAAGCUACAGUUGCUUUUUUUCCGUGUUUCCCCAGAGUGUCUCUAGUAGGCAGUAUCCAAUCAACAGAACUAUGGAAAUCUACCCCAAAGAGAGAAUACAGAGGAGCUAGGAUAAUUACCAAUAUUUAAGGUGUCCAGGUGAGUCAGAGGAGCUGAGGGGGCUGACAGGCUUGACUUGUAGUUUCAUCU